UGUAUUUAUCCUACCUCCAGUAUCCGCUAUCAAUGCUCCUUAGUGGCUCCUGUCAUUUGAGCUGCAAGAUAACGCUCCUCCUCUAUUCUGUUUCCGGCAAAAAGGGCCAGCCCACCAUGCGGCAGCCAAUCAGAACUCGUAGAGAGCAAUCACUUGUGAUUGGCUCUUCUUAAUAGCAAUCAUAUAAUUCUCGUUUCUGAUUGGAUUACAUACAUGUGCCCACCUUCUGUUGGGAAACCAUUGGCUGAGACAUGCUGGGGUGGGAAAUCUGAGUGAAAAAUCCCAGAAAGAGGCAGAAUGGUGGAGAGCAGAUAUGAUACUGCAAUAAAGAUUUCACAAAGGCGAUGCCCUUAUUACCAUGGCUGCUGGGCUUAAGACUAAAGGAGAAGGAGAUAAAAAAGGUUUCUUCAGCUAAAGAACCACUGGAUCCAUUUACAAUGGAAAGGAAGAUUCUGUGAGAAAGAUGAUAGAAGCUGGACUCCAGAAUCCUUAAAAUGUCAGCAACAUAGACUAAUUGUCUUUCUGGUUCGUCCAUCUUCAUAUGGGUGCACAUGCAUAGUAGAGUGAAAAGCCGAACUUUAACAAAAAAGCCAGCUUUGACCAUUGACCGUGGGCCAUCGAAGAAAGAAGCAGAAGAAGGUUUGUUAGACAUUCAUUUUCACUUUUUUUCAUGUUGCGGAGGAAUGUAUAAUUACUGUUGCUCCAGCUCCUAACUCUACAGUGACUUUACAGACCCCUAACUGGUACGAGGGACUGCCAGAAACUGUAUCUGUCUCAUGGUGAUGCCUUCUAAGCAAUUUGGGAAGUUAGCAUUUGCAAAAGACAGAAUGGCCAUUAUAUGUGAAACUGGACGUGCAUUUAUUAACAUAAAGGAACAGAAGUCUGCUGGGCCAGAUAUUGUUUUGAAAGAUUAUGAUACCCUUCCCAGCUCCAUUAAUCUUUUCUAUCCUUUCUGGCUUAACAUCUCUAACUGUAAGCCUAAGGUCUGGUCCAAGAAGCUUCAGAUACAGUUUUCUGUUAUGUUUAUCCAAACUGAAUCAGACCUGACAACAAUAUUAAUUGCAGCUUGUUCUGCUAUUGCAGCAGUUAUUUUCAUUAUUGGAGUAGCUGUUUACUGUGUCA
Xenopus laevis (African clawed frog) is the source of this 1122-nucleotide long non-coding RNA. RefSeq lists it as uncharacterized. The transcript has 5 exons. The record is from RefSeq and is a predicted model, not a curated record. Lineage: Eukaryota; Metazoa; Chordata; Amphibia; Anura; Pipidae.